This 1164-nucleotide ribosomal RNA is filed under the name uncultured Bacteroides sp. Its description in RNAcentral is "bacterial SSU rRNA". It matches the Rfam family "Bacterial small subunit ribosomal RNA", at positions 13 to 1176 of the family's 1533-position model. Lineage: Bacteria; Pseudomonadati; Bacteroidota; Bacteroidia; Bacteroidales; Bacteroidaceae. The record is from RNAcentral.
UUGAUCCUGGCUCAGGAUGAACGCUAGCUACAGGCUUAACACAUGCAAGUCGAGGGGCAGCAUUGGGGUAGCAAUACUUCAGAUGGCGACCGGCGCACGGGUGAGUAACACGUAUCCAACCUGCCGCUUACUCGGGGAUAGCCUUUCGAAAGAAAGAUUAAUACCCGAUAGUAUAAAGAGUUCGCAUGUUCUCUUUAUUAAAGAAUUUCGGUAAGCGAUGGGAUGCGUUCCAUUAGAUAGUUGGCGGGGUAACGGCCCACCAAGUCUACGAUGGAUAGGGGUUCUGAGAGGAAGGUCCCCCACGUUGGAACUGAGACACGGUCCAAACUCCUACGGGAGGCAGCAGUGAGGAAUAUUGGUCAAUGGGCGAGAGCCUGAACCAGCCAAGUAGCGUGAAGGAUGACUGCCCUAUGGGUUGUAAACUUCUUUUAUAAGGGAAUAAAGUGAGGGACGUGUCCCUUUUUGUAUGUACCUUAUGAAUAAGGAUCGGCUAACUCCGUGCCAGCAGCCGCGGUAAUACGGAGGAUCCAAGCGUUAUCCGGAUUUAUUGGGUUUAAAGGGAGCGUAGGUUGACAUAUAAGUCAGCUGUGAAAGUUUACGGCUCAACCGUGAAAUUGCAGUUGAUACUGUAUGUCUUGAGUGUACAAGAGGUGGGCGGAAUUCGUGGUGUAGCGGUGAAAUGCUUAGAUAUCACGAAGAACUCCAAUUGCGAGGGCAGCUCACUGGGGUACAACUGACACUGAGGCUCGAAAGUGUGGGUAUCAAACAGGAUUAGAUACCCUGGUAGCCCACACAGUAAACGAUGAAUACUCGCUGUUUGCGAUAUACAGUAAGCGGCCAAGCGAAAGCAUUAAGUAUUCCACCUGGGGAGUACGCCGGCAACGGUGAAACUCAAAGGAAUUGACGGGGGCCCGCACAAGCGGAGGAACAUGUGGUUUAAUUCGAUGAUACGCGAGGAACCUUACCCGGGCUUGAAUUGCAGAGGAAUAUAGUUGAAAGAUUAUAGCCGCAAGGCCUCUGUGAGAGUGCUGCAUGGUUGUCGUCAGCUCGUGCCGUGAGGUGUCGGCUUAAGUGCCAUAACGAGCGCAACCCUUAUCAUUAGUUACUAACAGGUCAUGCUGAGGACUCUAGUGAGACUGCCGUCGUAAGAUGUGAGGAAGGUGG